This 2933-nucleotide ribosomal RNA is filed under the name Escherichia coli. RNAcentral describes it as "23S ribosomal RNA". It matches the Rfam family "Bacterial large subunit ribosomal RNA". Lineage: Bacteria; Pseudomonadati; Pseudomonadota; Gammaproteobacteria; Enterobacterales; Enterobacteriaceae. The record is from RNAcentral.
GGGUUGUGAGGUUAAGCGACUAAGCGUACACGGUGGAUGCCCUGGCAGUCAGAGGCGAUGAAGGACGUGCUAAUCUGCGAUAAGCGUCGGUAAGGUGAUAUGAACCGUUAUAACCGGCGAUUUCCGAAUGGGGAAACCCAGUGUGAUUCGUCACACUAUCAUUAACUGAAUCCAUAGGUUAAUGAGGCGAACCGGGGGAACUGAAACAUCUAAGUACCCCGAGGAAAAGAAAUCAACCGAGAUUCCCCCAGUAGCGGCGAGCGAACGGGGAGCAGCCCAGAGCCUGAAUCAGUGUGUGUGUUAGUGGAAGCGUCUGGAAAGGCGCGCGAUACAGGGUGACAGCCCCGUACACAAAAAUGCACAUAUUGUGAGCUCGAUGAGUAGGGCGGGACACGUGGUAUCCUGUCUGAAUAUGGGGGGACCAUCCUCCAAGGCUAAAUACUCCUGACUGACCGAUAGUGAACCAGUACCGUGAGGGAAAGGCGAAAAGAACCCCGGCGAGGGGAGUGAAAAAGAACCUGAAACCGUGUACGUACAAGCAGUGGGAGCACGCUUAGGCGUGUGACUGCGUACCUUUUGUAUAAUGGGUCAGCGACUUAUAUUCUGUAGCAAGGUUAACCGAAUAGGGGAGCCGAAGGGAAACCGAGUCUUAACUGGGCGUUAAGUUGCAGGGUAUAGACCCGAAACCCGGUGAUCUAGCCAUGGGCAGGUUGAAGGUUGGGUAACACUAACUGGAGGACCGAACCGACUAAUGUUGAAAAAUUAGCGGAUGACUUGUGGCUGGGGGUGAAAGGCCAAUCAAACCGGGAGAUAGCUGGUUCUCCCCGAAAGCUAUUUAGGUAGCGCCUCGUGAAUUCAUCUCCGGGGGUAGAGCACUGUUUCGGCAAGGGGGUCAUCCCGACUUACCAACCCGAUGCAAACUGCGAAUACCGGAGAAUGUUAUCACGGGAGACACACGGCGGGUGCUAACGUCCGUCGUGAAGAGGGAAACAACCCAGACCGCCAGCUAAGGUCCCAAAGUCAUGGUUAAGUGGGAAACGAUGUGGGAAGGCCCAGACAGCCAGGAUGUUGGCUUAGAAGCAGCCAUCAUUUAAAGAAAGCGUAAUAGCUCACUGGUCGAGUCGGCCUGCGCGGAAGAUGUAACGGGGCUAAACCAUGCACCGAAGCUGCGGCAGCGACGCUUAUGCGUUGUUGGGUAGGGGAGCGUUCUGUAAGCCUGCGAAGGUGUGCUGUGAGGCAUGCUGGAGGUAUCAGAAGUGCGAAUGCUGACAUAAGUAACGAUAAAGCGGGUGAAAAGCCCGCUCGCCGGAAGACCAAGGGUUCCUGUCCAACGUUAAUCGGGGCAGGGUGAGUCGACCCCUAAGGCGAGGCCGAAAGGCGUAGUCGAUGGGAAACAGGUUAAUAUUCCUGUACUUGGUGUUACUGCGAAGGGGGGACGGAGAAGGCUAUGUUGGCCGGGCGACGGUUGUCCCGGUUUAAGCGUGUAGGCUGGUUUUCCAGGCAAAUCCGGAAAAUCAAGGCUGAGGCGUGAUGACGAGGCACUACGGUGCUGAAGCAACAAAUGCCCUGCUUCCAGGAAAAGCCUCUAAGCAUCAGGUAACAUCAAAUCGUACCCCAAACCGACACAGGUGGUCAGGUAGAGAAUACCAAGGCGCUUGAGAGAACUCGGGUGAAGGAACUAGGCAAAAUGGUGCCGUAACUUCGGGAGAAGGCACGCUGAUAUGUAGGUGAGGUCCCUCGCGGAUGGAGCUGAAAUCAGUCGAAGAUACCAGCUGGCUGCAACUGUUUAUUAAAAACACAGCACUGUGCAAACACGAAAGUGGACGUAUACGGUGUGACGCCUGCCCGGUGCCGGAAGGUUAAUUGAUGGGGUUAGCCGCAAGGCGAAGCUCUUGAUCGAAGCCCCGGUAAACGGCGGCCGUAACUAUAACGGUCCUAAGGUAGCGAAAUUCCUUGUCGGGUAAGUUCCGACCUGCACGAAUGGCGUAAUGAUGGCCAGGCUGUCUCCACCCGAGACUCAGUGAAAUUGAACUCGCUGUGAAGAUGCAGUGUACCCGCGGCAAGACGGAAAGACCCCGUGAACCUUUACUAUAGCUUGACACUGAACAUUGAGCCUUGAUGUGUAGGAUAGGUGGGAGGCUUAGAAGUGUGGACGCCAGUCUGCAUGGAGCCGACCUUGAAAUACCACCCUUUAAUGUUUGAUGUUCUAACGUUGACCCGUAAUCCGGGUUGCGGACAGUGUCUGGUGGGUAGUUUGACUGGGGCGGUCUCCUCCUAAAGAGUAACGGAGGAGCACGAAGGUUGGCUAAUCCUGGUCGGACAUCAGGAGGUUAGUGCAAUGGCAUAAGCCAGCUUGACUGCGAGCGUGACGGCGCGAGCAGGUGCGAAAGCAGGUCAUAGUGAUCCGGUGGUUCUGAAUGGAAGGGCCAUCGCUCAACGGAUAAAAGGUACUCCGGGGAUAACAGGCUGAUACCGCCCAAGAGUUCAUAUCGACGGCGGUGUUUGGCACCUCGAUGUCGGCUCAUCACAUCCUGGGGCUGAAGUAGGUCCCAAGGGUAUGGCUGUUCGCCAUUUAAAGUGGUACGCGAGCUGGGUUUAGAACGUCGUGAGACAGUUCGGUCCCUAUCUGCCGUGGGCGCUGGAGAACUGAGGGGGGCUGCUCCUAGUACGAGAGGACCGGAGUGGACGCAUCACUGGUGUUCGGGUUGUCAUGCCAAUGGCACUGCCCGGUAGCUAAAUGCGGAAGAGAUAAGUGCUGAAAGCAUCUAAGCACGAAACUUGCCCCGAGAUGAGUUCUCCCUGACUCCUUGAGAGUCCUGAAGGAACGUUGAAGACGACGACGUUGAUAGGCCGGGUGUGUAAGCGCAGCGAUGCGUUGAGCUAACCGGUACUAAUGAACCGUGAGGCUUAACCUUACAACGCCGAAGGUGUUU